This 108-nucleotide small nuclear RNA is filed under the name Octodon degus (degu). The record is from RNAcentral. Lineage: Eukaryota; Metazoa; Chordata; Mammalia; Rodentia; Octodontidae.
GUGCUUGCUUUGGCAGCACAUAUACUUAAAAUUGGACUGAUACAGAGAAGAUUAGCAUGACCCCUGCACAAGGAUGACACGCAAAUUCAUGAAGCAUUCCAUAUUUUU